This 253-nucleotide ribosomal RNA is filed under the name uncultured bacterium. RNAcentral's name for it is "partial 16S ribosomal RNA". It matches the Rfam family "Bacterial small subunit ribosomal RNA", at positions 524 to 776 of the family's 1533-position model. The record is from RNAcentral.
UACGGGGGGAGCAAGCGUUGUUCGGAUUUACUGGGCGUAAAGGGCGCGUAGGCGGCAAUUCAAGUCAGCUGUGAAAUCUCCGGGCUUAACUCGGAACGGUCAGCUGAUACUGCUUUGCUAGAGUGCAGAAGGGGCAAUCGGAAUUCCUGGUGUAGCGGUGAAAUGCGCAGAUAUCAGGAGGAACACCGGUGGCGAAGGCGGUUCUCUGGGCAUGACCUGACGCUGAGGAGCGAAAGUGUGGGGAGCGAACAGG